This 497-nucleotide ribosomal RNA is filed under the name uncultured bacterium. RNAcentral's name for it is "partial 16S ribosomal RNA". It matches the Rfam family "Bacterial small subunit ribosomal RNA", at positions 28 to 507 of the family's 1533-position model. The record is from RNAcentral.
GAUGAACGCUGGCGGCGUGCCUAAUACAUGCAAGUCGAGCGAACAGACGAGGAGCUUGCUCCUCUGACGUUAGCGGCGGACGGGUGAGUAACACGUGGAUAACCUACCUAUAAGACUUGGAUAACUUCGGGAAACCGGAGCUACUACCGGAUAAUAUAUUGAACCGCAUGGUUCACUAGUUAAAGACGGUUUUGCUGUCACUUAUAGAUGGAUCCGCGCCGCAUUAGCUAGUUGGUAAGGUAACGGCUUACCAACGCAACGAUGCGUAGCCGACCUGAGAGGGAGAUCGGCCACACUGGAACUGAGACACGGUCCAGACUCCGACGGGAGGAAGCAGUAGGGAAUCUUACGGAAUGGGCGAAAGCCUGACGGAGCAACGCCGCGGGAGUGAUGAAGGUCUUCGGAUCGUAAAACUCUGUUAUUAGGGAAGAAGAAAUGUGUAAGUAACUAUGCACGUCUUGACGGUACCUAAUCAGAAAGCCACGGCUAACUACGUG